Molecule: ribosomal RNA, 420 nt
Filed under: Triticum aestivum (bread wheat)
Lineage: Eukaryota; Viridiplantae; Streptophyta; Magnoliopsida; Poales; Poaceae
Description: partial small subunit ribosomal RNA
Source: RNAcentral
AUGUGUGCAGGCAUAGAGGAGGUAUUUCCGUUGGCAGUGCACAGGCACUGCAGGUGGCAUAUUAUUAAGAAGGCUGAGGAGACACUAGGACCAUUCUUUGCUGGCCGUCUAGAGCUGCACAAGGCAUUCGAGUUGUGCGUGGACCACAGCUUGAUGGUGGAGGAGUUUGAACAGAGUUGGAAGGCUAUGAUUGAAACAUACCAAGUACGAGACAACGAGACACUUACUAGCUUGUGGGAGAAGCGAAUGUACUGGGUGCCGGCCUACUUCAUGCAGUGCUUCUUCCCAUUUCUGCAGACUACGCAGUGUAGCGAGGGGUUCAAUGCUGUUUUGAAGCGGUACAUGAGCCCUGGCAACUCAUUGCUGCAGUUUGCCAAGCAAUACGUACACAGCUUUGCAACAGAAAAUACUGGGAUCUGA